GACGAGCGCUGGCGGCGUGCCUAAUACAUGCAAGUUGAGCGCUGAAGGUUGGUACUUGUACCAACUGGAUGAGCAGCGAACAGGUGAGUAACGCGUGGGGAAUCUGCCUUUGAGCGGGGGACAACAUUUGGAAACGAAUGCUAAUACCGCAUAAAAACUUUAAACACAAGUUUUAAGUUUGAAAGAUGCAAUUGCAUCACUCAAAGAUGAUCCCGCGUUGUAUUAGCUAGUUGGUGAGGUAAAGGCUCACCAAGGCGAUGAUACAUAGCCGACCUGAGAGGGUGGUCGGCCACAUUGGGACUGAGACACGGCCCAAACUCCGACGGGAGGCAGCAGUAGGGGAUCUUCGGCAAUGGACGAAAGUCUGACCGAGCAACGCCGCGUGAGUGAAGAAGGUUUUCGGAUCGUAAAACUCUGUUGGUAGAGAAGAACGUUGGUGAGAGUGGAAAGCUCAUCAAGUGACGGUAACUACCCAGAAAGGGACGGCUAACUACGUG
RNAcentral lists this ribosomal RNA (497 nucleotides) under uncultured bacterium. RNAcentral describes it as "partial 16S ribosomal RNA". It matches the Rfam family "Bacterial small subunit ribosomal RNA", at positions 28 to 507 of the family's 1533-position model. The record is from RNAcentral.